Nomascus leucogenys (northern white-cheeked gibbon) is the source of this 2071-nucleotide long non-coding RNA. RefSeq lists it as uncharacterized. The record is from RefSeq and is a predicted model, not a curated record. NCBI's taxonomy places the organism in Eukaryota, Metazoa, Chordata, Mammalia, Primates, Hylobatidae. The transcript is spliced from 3 exons.
UGCGUGUUGGUGCUGGUGCCCUGGCUUAGGGGCUGCGGCGCCAUUGCUUGUUGUGUGGUGGGCCCGGGUGGGUGAACCUGAGCAGCAGUUUGCACCUGCUUUGUGAGAACCAGAGCAUCCUUGGGUUCUUCCAACAUUUUACUGGGAUUUAGACAUGUGUGUCUUUUAAUUUCAGGAGGCACAAAUGACUAAAUCUACCUUUUUUUUUUUAAACCUCUGCAGAAUCCUGAGAUGUGAACCCAGCCAGUACCCGUGUGACUCCUCUGAACUGAAAACAAAUUCUGCUUUGUGUCAGUCUGUUUUAGGUAGUCCCCAGAGCUGUCUUGCUGCAAAAGUCUACGCAUCUCCUGCCGACAGAAGUGGCUUGAAAACAGGUACGUGAAGUUUGUGGCAAGCAAAUUAUACCUUAGUAAAGCCAUUUAAAAAAUGUAGUGCAAAUGUGACCGUAAGUCAUGGAGGAAAGGGUAUGCAGUCAUUUUUUCUACAACAGUAAGCAACAUCCCCUCUCUUUCCCUGUUCCACAUCCUGCCUACAUGUCCUGCCUGGUCGCCUGGCUCCUCCACGUGCACUUGAUGCUCCAGCCAGAUAGACGGUGCACACCUGGGCAGAGGGAGUGCUGGCUUAUGAAGUUAAUGUCACCUAUUGGCUCUGCUCACCUUUUCCUGUCAAUUGUAUUUUACAACUCCUCCAUUUCCUACCCUGGAAGAAAUCUCUCCACCAGUACGGCUGCCAUUUGAGGCACAUUCCCAUACAAACUGGACCUCUGACAACUCUCCAAAAUGAACACACCCUACCCAGGAUACGCACCAAAGGAGAUGAACUUGUUUUUAUCCAAAGGAAGUGUUUGUUUGUAAUCAUAAAUUUGUGAGCCUAAGCUACUGCAAAGGAAACCGGCCAGGUUAUUAGCCCAAAUGAAGGCAGUGGGUAUCUUGAGUUUAGCCCCAACACCAGCCGCACCUAGGAAAGUUACAUGAUAAAUUGUGACAAUUGUUUUUUUCCCCCCCGGAGAAUACCCAAGCGAUUCAUACUUUGUUGUGGGUUCACUGCCUUUUUUUUUUUUAACCAGCCAAUUGGAUAGUCGUGUUAUCUUACCCAUCUCUUUCUCCCUUUCUAAUUAUACAUUUGGAUAGAGUUUUGACAACUUAUCACUUUUUUAGAAGUAGAGUAAAACUGUCACUCCUGGACAGAACAAUCCAUUGUCAGGAGUGAGAACAUCCCUCUGCAAAACAGCCAUUCUCUCCAGGAGAUGAACAGGAACUGUCUGAAGAAGCUAAAAGACUUGGAAUGGUUUUAGAUGUGUUCGCCCCCAACAGAGACAGGUCUCAGGUUGCGGGCUUUUCUGGCAAACCAGCUCUGUGGGUUACUGAAGAAGCUCAACCCAAUGCCCGAGUUUUCCAUGCUCUCAUUCAUGAAGCCAACCAAGUCACCAGUGAUAUCACGAAAAAUAUUAACAUAAUCACUCAAGAAAUGCAAGAACUCCAGAGGCUGUUGUCCAUCAUCAACUGGCAUUAGCCAUCAUCCGGGCAGAUCUAGGAGAUGGAUGCGUUUGUGCAGUUGUCAAUGAUGACUGCUGUACAUAUAUCCCCCAACACCUUUCUGAUGUCUUUUUGAUGAAUUGCCACCUAGUCCUGAUCUCUGGGACCUCUGGGUUAUCAUUGGGUGGCUGAGAAUAUGACCUUUUCCCUUGAAUAUUCCCAACAGGGAUAUAGUCCUGGGGAUGCACUGCUUUUCCAAGAUAUAGUGAUAAUUUGUCUUUUUAUUCUCAUAGGAAUACUCCUCAUGAAGUCUAUCCAAUCACAUCUAGUUAAGACCAGCAGCACUCUCCCAUCAAAUGGAUGAUCCAUGCUACGACUAAGGAACAGAAGACCAAAUAACAAACUGCUCCUCAGAUCCAUUAUGGAGGCCUUCUUGGCUCAAUUCCUGAAUAUGAUAUAUCCUUAUAAUUUUGUUUUCUCUCCAAAAAAGAAUAUGCUGGCAAUGAAAGGAGUUCAUCUUGUCUAAGAGGAGGGACUGGAAAAAUUAUUUAUUUUGAGAUAGGGUCUCACUCUGUUGCCCAGGCUGGAGUGCAGUG